RNAcentral lists this ribosomal RNA (484 nucleotides) under uncultured bacterium. RNAcentral describes it as "partial 16S ribosomal RNA". It matches the Rfam family "Bacterial small subunit ribosomal RNA", at positions 28 to 507 of the family's 1533-position model. The record is from RNAcentral.
AUUGAACGCUGGCGGCAUGCUUUACACAUGCAAGUCGAACGGCAGCGCGGGCUUCGGCCUGGCGGCGAGUGGCGAACGGGUGAGUAAUGCAUCGGAACGUGCCCAGUAGUGGGGGAUAGCCCGGCGAAAGCCGGAUUAAUACCGCAUACGACCUGAGGGUGAAAGCGGGGGACCGAAAGGCCUCGCGCUAUUGGAGCGGCCGAUGUCGGAUUAGUUAGUUGGUGGGGUAAAGGCUUACCAAGGCGACGAUCCGUAGCCGGUCUGAGAGGACGACCAGCCACACUGGGACUGAGACACGGCCCAGACUCCUACGGGAGGCAGCAGUGGGGAAUUUUGGACAAUGGGGGCAACCCUGAUCCAGCCAUGCCGCGUGCGGGAAGAAGGCCUUCGGGUUGUAAACCGCUUUUGUUCGGGAAGAAAUCCUCUGGGCUAAUACCCCGGGGGGAUGACGGUACCGGAAGAAUAAGCACCGGCUAACUACGUG